Molecule: ribosomal RNA, 232 nt
Filed under: uncultured bacterium
Lineage: Bacteria
Description: partial 16S ribosomal RNA
Rfam family: Bacterial small subunit ribosomal RNA
Source: RNAcentral
CGGACGGGUGAGUAAUGUCUGGGAAACUGCCCGAUGGAGGGGGAUAACUACUGGAAACGGUAGCUAAUACCGCAUAACGUCGCAAGACCAAAGAGGGGGACCUUCGGGCCUCUUGCCAUCGGAUGUGCCCAGAUGGGGUUAGCUAGUAGGUGGGGUAAUGGCUCACCUAGGCGACGAUCCCUAGCUGGUCUGAGAGGAUGACCAGCCACACUGGAACUGAGACACGGUCCAG